Molecule: RNA transcript, 1409 nt
Organism: Panicum virgatum (switchgrass)
Lineage: Eukaryota; Viridiplantae; Streptophyta; Magnoliopsida; Poales; Poaceae
Gene name: AUGMIN subunit 1-like
Exons: 6
Source: RefSeq, a predicted model, not a curated record
UUCCCCACAAAAUUCAAACACCAACCUCUCCUCUCCUCCGUGUCGCCGGCCACCCACUUGCCCCCCAUGGAUCACGCCGCCGAGCACCUCGACCCCACCGCGCCGGCGCCCGCGUCCGCCUCCUCCUCCGCCGCCGUCGCUGAGGUUAACGCGUGGCUGGCCUCCCUUGCCGCGGAGGCCGGGUCCGGGGGCGGAGCGGGAGGGCGAGGCGGCGGCAGCGGGGCUGCCGCGGAGCUCUCGCUGGGGCCCGACCCCACGCCGCGCGGGGUGGCCUACCUCCGCGCUCUGGCCGCGGCGUCACAGGCGCGGUCGCGGGCCGCCGGGAUCGCGGCCGCGGGGCUGCGCGCGCAGGCCUCGGAGUACCGCGCCGAGGCGGCGCGCCUGCGGGAGGCGCUCGAGCGGGCGGGGCUCGCGAGGGACGCGCUACCGCCACCCGCGGCAGCGGCGGCGCGCGCCGUCGCCGCCGUCGCCAAUCUCCUCGCGAUCCGUGACACCGAGAUGAGCAGCUUUGUGGUGGCGAGUGCAGACUUGUCACUGAGGCGAGCAGAGGUGGAGGAGAAGAGAGACAAAGUGCAUAAGGAGUCAAAGGCACUACUUGAUUACACUCGGAAGGCCAUAAACAAGCUUACUGAGCUGAAGAAGAUGCUGGAGAAAUUUAAAAAUGAUGUGGAGAAGCAACAAGCAGAGCAAAUGACAGAUUGGCAGACAAAGCUUGUAAUGAUGGACUCCAAGGAACGUCAGUAUAUCCUCCAAGUCUCAAAUUAUAAGGCAAUGCUUAACCGAGUGGGUUAUACACCGGAGAUCAAUCAUGGUGUGUUGAUGGAAAUGGCCGAGCAUAAGAAGGAUCUCGAGAGGAAGACAAAACCCAUUGCCGAUACGUUAAGAAGUUACCAGGAUUUACCUCCAGAUAAAGCUCUAGCAGCACUAGCUAUAGAGGACAAAAAGAGGCAGUAUGCAGCUGCAGAGAAGUACCUUGAAGAUGUGUUGCAAUCUGCUCUAACCACAACUGGCCUAUAAUGUUCAUAGUUUUGUUUGGUGUAUCUUACAUGUUGGCAUUGAUUGGAAGUGUAAUGUUAAUCAGUUAUGAUCUCAGGAAUAACCAAGACACUCUCCUGACAGCUUGGCCUGUGUGCACGCGUGCGUGUGUGGUUGUCUUAAUGUGAAUGUGAUUAUGGAUGGCCAUUGUGAACUGUUGAAUCAAUGAUCGUGUUUGUCUACAGAUUAGCUGAAAUGUGAUGUUUUAAUUGAUGUACAAUUAUCUUAUGGUAUGCAUGUUCGUUUUCUCUUCUCUUUCAUUCAUUCUAGCAUAUAUCCCGAAUUUGUCUGUAGCAUUGAAACAAAACUCAAUUGCUGAGGCUAUCACUUCUUAUUCUGUGAUUUAUGUGAGAUUGAAAUAUGGUUCAUUUUCA